CUCAGUUCGGAUCGGAGGUCUGCAACCCGACUCCGUGAAGCUGGAUUCGCUAGUAAUCGCGCAUCAGCCAUGGCGCGGUGAAUACGUUCCCGGGCCUUGUACACACCGCCCGUCAAGCCAUGGAAGCCGGGAGUGCCUGAAGUAUGCAACCGCAAGGAGCGUCCUAAGGUAAAACCGGUGACUGGGGCUAAGUCGUAACAAGGUAGC
RNAcentral lists this ribosomal RNA (207 nucleotides) under uncultured bacterium. RNAcentral describes it as "partial 16S ribosomal RNA". It matches the Rfam family "Bacterial small subunit ribosomal RNA", at positions 1287 to 1500 of the family's 1533-position model. The record is from RNAcentral.